This 468-nucleotide ribosomal RNA is filed under the name uncultured bacterium. RNAcentral's name for it is "partial 16S ribosomal RNA". It matches the Rfam family "Bacterial small subunit ribosomal RNA", at positions 28 to 507 of the family's 1533-position model. The record is from RNAcentral.
GACGAACGCUGGCGGCGUGCUUAACACAUGCAAGUCGAACGGAAAGGCCCUGCUUUUGUGGGGUGCUCGAGUGGCGAACGGGUGAGUAACACGUGAGUAACCUGCCCUUGACUUUGGGAUAACUUCAGGAAACUGGGGCUAAUACCGGAUAGGAGCUCCUGCUGCAUGGUGGGGGUUGGAAAGUUUCGGCGGAUGGGGAUGGACGCGCGGCUUAUCAGCUUGUUGGUGGGGUAGUGGCUUACCAAGGCUUUGACGGGUAGCCGGCCUGAGAGGGUGACCGGCCACAUUGGGACUGAGAUACGGCCCAGACUCCUACGGGAGGCAGCAGUGGGGAAUAUUGCACAAUGGGCGGAAGCCGGAUGCAGCAACGCCGCGUGCGGGAUGACGGCCUUCGGGUUGUAAACCGCUUUCGCCUGUGACGAAGCGUGAGUGACGGUAAUGGGUAAAGAAGCACCGGCUAACUACGUG